GACGAACGCUGGCGGCGUGCUUAACACAUGCAAGUCGAACGGAAAGGCCCUGCUUUUGUGGGGUGCUCGAGUGGCGAACGGGUGAGUAACACGUGAGUAACCUGCCCUUGACUUUGGGAUAACUUCAGGAAACUGGGGCUAAUACAGGAUAGGAGCUCCUGCUGCAUGGUAGGGGUUGGAAAGUUUCGGCGGUUGGGGAUGGACUCGCGGCUUAUCAGCUUGUUGGUGGGGUAGUGGCUUACCAAGGGUUUGACGGGUCGCCGGCCUGAGAGGGUGACCGGCCACAUUGGGACUGAGAUACGGCCCAGACUCCUACGGGAGGCAGCAGUGGGGAAUAUUGCACAAUGGGCGGAAGCCUGAUGCAGCAACGCCGCGUGCGGGAUGACGGCCUUCGGGUUGUAAACCGCUUUCGCCUGUGACGAAGCGUGAGUGACGGUAAUGGGUAAAGAAGCACCGGCUAACUACGUG
Molecule: ribosomal RNA, 468 nt
Filed under: uncultured bacterium
Lineage: Bacteria
Description: partial 16S ribosomal RNA
Rfam family: Bacterial small subunit ribosomal RNA
Source: RNAcentral